CUGACAUAAGUAACGAUAAAGCGGGUGAAAAGCCCGCUCGCCGGAAGACCAAGGGUUCCUGUCCAACGUUAAUCGGGGCAGGGUGAGUCGACCCCUAAGGCGAGGCCGAAAGGCGUAGUCGAUGGGAAACGGGUUAAUAUUCCCGUACUUGGUGUUACUGCGAAGGGGGGACGGAGAAGGCUAUGUUGGCCGGGCGACGGUUGUCCCGGUUUAAGCGUGUAGGUGUGUGUUCCAGGUAAAUCCGGUUCACUUUAACACUGAGGCGUGACGACGAGGCACUACGGUGCUGAAGCAACAAAUGCCCUGCUUCCAGGAAAAGCCUCUAAGCAUCAGGUAACAUCAAAUCGUACCCCAAACCGACACAGGUGGUCAGGUAGAGAAUACCAAGGCGCUUGAGAGAACUCGGGUGAAGGAACUAGGCAAAAUGGUGCCGUAACUUCGGGAGAAGGCACGCUGACACGUAGGUGAAGUGAUUUACUCAUGGAGCUGAAGUCAGUCGAAGAUACCAGCUGGCUGCAACUGUUUAUUAAAAACACAGCACUGUGCAAACACGAAAGUGGACGUAUACGGUGUGACGCCUGCCCGGUGCCGGAAGGUUAAUUGAUGGGGUCAGCGCAAGCGAAGCUCCUGAUCGAAGCCCCGGUAAACGGCGGCCGUAACUAUAACGGUCCUAAGGUAGCGAAAUUCCUUGUCGGGUAAGUUCCGACCUGCACGAAUGGCGUAAUGAUGGCCAGGCUGUCUCCACCCGAGACUCAGUGAAAUUGAACUCGCUGUGAAGAUGCAGUGUACCCGCGGCAAGACGGAAAGACCCCGUGAACCUUUACUAUAGCUUGACACUGAACAUUGAGCCUUGAUGUGUAGGAUAGGUGGGAGGCUUUGAAGUGUGGACGCCAGUCUGCAUGGAGCCGACCUUGAAAUACCACCCUUUAAUGUUUGAUGUUCUAACGUGGACCCGUUACCCGGGUUGCGGACAGUGUCUGGUGGGUAGUUUGACUGGGGCGGUCUCCUCCUAAAGAGUAACGGAGGAGCACGAAGGUUGGCUAAUCCUGGUCGGACAUCAGGAGGUUAGUGCAAUGGCAUAAGCCAGCUUGACUGCGAGCGUGACGGCGCGAGCAGGUGCGAAAGCAGGUCAUAGUGAUCCGGUGGUUCUGAAUGGAAGGGCCAUCGCUCAACGGAUAAAAGGUACUCCGGGGAUAACAGGCUGAUACCGCCCAAGAGUUCAUAUCGACGGCGGUGUUUGGCACCUCGAUGUCGGCUCAUCACAUCCUGGGGCUGAAGUAGGUCCCAAGGGUAUGGCUGUUCGCCAUUUAAAGUGGUACGCGAGCUGGGUUUAGAACGUCGUGAGACAGUUCGGUCCCUAUCUGCCGUGGGCGCUGGAGAACUGAGGG
Molecule: ribosomal RNA, 1388 nt
Filed under: Salmonella enterica subsp. enterica serovar Enteritidis
Lineage: Bacteria; Pseudomonadati; Pseudomonadota; Gammaproteobacteria; Enterobacterales; Enterobacteriaceae
Description: partial 23S ribosomal RNA
Rfam family: Bacterial large subunit ribosomal RNA
Source: RNAcentral